GUGAGAAAAAGUAGUAAAUUAAGCAUAUCACGCAAGGACAAACAUUAAGUUAAGGCCUAGUUCCUAUUAUACUAGGAAUACUCAAUCCUACUUAUGCCUCUUAUUCUUCUUUUCUCAG
Drosophila melanogaster (fruit fly) is the source of this 118-nucleotide non-coding RNA. The record is from Ensembl. NCBI's taxonomy places the organism in Eukaryota, Metazoa, Arthropoda, Insecta, Diptera, Drosophilidae.